This 66-nucleotide transfer RNA is filed under the name Marmota monax (woodchuck). RNAcentral describes it as "tRNA.Ala". Lineage: Eukaryota; Metazoa; Chordata; Mammalia; Rodentia; Sciuridae. The record is from RNAcentral.
GUUGUGGCUCAGUGGUAGAGCGCUUGCCUAGCGCGUGUGGGACCCUGGGUUUGAUCCUCAGCAGCA